Molecule: ribosomal RNA, 460 nt
Filed under: uncultured bacterium
Lineage: Bacteria
Description: partial 16S ribosomal RNA
Rfam family: Bacterial small subunit ribosomal RNA
Source: RNAcentral
CCUACGGGUGGCAGCAGUGAGGAAUAUUGGUCCAUGGGCGGAAGCCUGAACCAGCCAUGCCGCGUGAAGGUCAGUGCCCUAUGGGCGUUAAACUUCUUUUGUGCGGGAGCAAUAAUGGUCACGUGUGGCCAGACGAGAGUACCGUACGAAUAAGCAUCGGCUAACUCCGUGCCAGCAGCCGCGGUAAUCCGGGGGAUGCAAGCGUUUUCCGGAUUUAUUGGGUUUAAAGGGUGCGUAGGCUGUGAGUUAAGUCAGCGGUGAAAUGCCCCCGCUCAACGGGGUGAAUGGCCAUUGAUACUGCCGUGCUGGAAUGCGGAUGCCGUGGGAGGAAUGUGUGGUGUAGCGGUGAAAUGCAUAGAUAUCACACAGAACACCGAUUGCGAAGGCAUCUCACGAAUCCGCGAUUGACGCUGAUGCACGAAAGCGUGGGUAUCAAACAGGAUUAGAUACCCCAGUAGUC